Molecule: non-coding RNA, 88 nt
Filed under: Methylobacter tundripaludum SV96
Lineage: Bacteria; Pseudomonadati; Pseudomonadota; Gammaproteobacteria; Methylococcales; Methylococcaceae
Source: RNAcentral
AGUUAUGGUGGGUGGUGUAUUGAGGAGCCGAGAGGCUCGCCGGAUCCUUGCCCCGGUAUCUCAACCCGAUACAUCAUCCGCCGCCCUG